UAAUGAGAAACAAAAAUUUUGUAUUUAAUUUCGACUUAAACUUUUGGUGAAUAUUUUACCCUCAUUAG
RNAcentral lists this transfer RNA (68 nucleotides) under Ips sexdentatus. Its description in RNAcentral is "tRNA-Arg". Lineage: Eukaryota; Metazoa; Arthropoda; Insecta; Coleoptera; Curculionidae. The record is from RNAcentral.